This 443-nucleotide ribosomal RNA is filed under the name uncultured bacterium. Its description in RNAcentral is "partial 16S ribosomal RNA". It matches the Rfam family "Bacterial small subunit ribosomal RNA", at positions 338 to 795 of the family's 1533-position model. The record is from RNAcentral.
CCUACGGGAGGCAGCAGUGGGGAAUAUUGGGCAAUGGGCGCAAGCCUGACCCAGCAACGCCGCGUGAGUGAAGAAGGCUUUCGGGUUGUAAAGCUCUUUUAGCAGGGACGAAAGAAGUGACGGUACCUGACUAAGAAGCCCCGGCUAACUACGUGCCAGCAGCCGCGGUAAUACGUAGGUGGCAAGCGUUAUCCGGAUUUACUGGGUGUAAAGGGAGUGUAGACGGGGAUGCAAGUCUGAAGUGAAAGCCGGGGGCCCAACCCACGGUCUGCAUUGGAAACUGUAGUGCUGGAGUGCAGGAGAGGUAGGCGGAAGUCCUAGUGUAGCGGUGAAAUGCGUAGAUAUUAGGAGGAACACCAGUGGCGAAGGCGGCUUACUGGACAGCAACUGACGUUGAGGCGCGAAAGCGUGGGGAGCAAACAGGAUUAGAUACCCGUGUAGUC